AUUGAACGCUGGCGGCAUGCCUUACACAUGCAAGUCGAACGGUAACAGGUUAAGCUGACGAGUGGCGAACGGGUGAGUAAUGUAUCGGAACGUGCCCAGUCGUGGGGGAUAACUGCUCGAAAGAGCAGCUAAUACCGCAUACGACCUGAGGGUGAAAGCGGGGGAUCGCAAGACCUCGCGCGAUUGGAGCGGCCGAUAUCAGAUUAGGUAGUUGGUGAGGUAAAGGCUCACCAAGCCGACGAUCUGUAGCUGGUCUGAGAGGACGACCAGCCACACUGGGACUGAGACACGGCCCAGACUCCUACGGGAGGCAGCAGUGGGGAAUUGUGGACAAUGGGCGCAAGCCUGAUCCAGCCAUGCCGCGUGCGGGAAGAAGGCCUUCGGGUUGUAAACCGCUUUUGUCAGGGAAGAAAAGGUUCUGGCUAAUACCUGGGACUCAUGACGGUACCUGAAGAAUAAGCACCGGCUAACUACGUG
RNAcentral lists this ribosomal RNA (477 nucleotides) under uncultured bacterium. Its description in RNAcentral is "partial 16S ribosomal RNA". It matches the Rfam family "Bacterial small subunit ribosomal RNA", at positions 30 to 507 of the family's 1533-position model. The record is from RNAcentral.